CGUUAGGUUUGGUCCUGACCUUAGUGUUAAUUGUGACUAAAAUUAUACAUGCAAGUUUCAGCACCCCCGUGAGGAUGCCCUAAGUAUUCUGUCAAAUAACUAGGAGCAGGCAUCAGGCACACAUCACGUGGCCCAAGACGCCUUGCUAAGCCACACCCCCAAGGGACUUCAGCAGUAAUAAACAUUGAUUAUAUAAGCGUAAGCUUGAAUUAGUUAAAGUCGACAGAGUUGGUUAAUCUCGUGCCAGCCACCGCGGUUAUACGAGUAACUCAUAUUAAUACUCCCCGGCGUAAAGUGUGAUUUAAGAAUUAUCUCCAAAUAACUACAGUUAUAACCUCAUCAAGCUGUUAUACGCAUUCAUGAGCAGAAUAAUUAACAACGAAAGUGACUUUAAAUUACAAGAAAUCUUGAUGUCACGACAGUUUGGCCCCAAACUAGGAUUAGAUACCCUACUAUGCCCUACCAUAAACUUAGACAAUAAUUUACUAUAUUGUCCGCCAGAGUACUACAAGCGCUAGCUUAAAACCCAAAGGACUUGGCGGUGCCCCACACCCACCUAGAGGAGCCUGUUCUAUAACCGAUAAUCCCCGUUAAACCUCACCACUUCUUGCCAUCACCGUCUAUAUACCGCCGUCGUCAGCUCACCCCGUGAGGGAUAAAAAGUAAGCAAAAAGAAUUAAACUCCUAAACGUCAGGUCGAGGUGUAGCGAAUGAAGCGGAAAGAAAUGGGCUACAUUUUUUUUACCAAAAAACACGGACAGUAAACUGAAAAAUUACCCAAAGGUGGAUUUAGCAGUAAGAGAAGGGUAGAGUACUUCUCUGAAACCGGCUCUGGGGCGCGCACACACCGCCCGUCACUCUCCUCAAUAAAUACUCUCAUUUAUAUAAAAAUUUUACUUAUACAAGAGGAGGCAAGUCGUAACAUGGUAAGUGUACUGGAAAGUGCACUUGGAAC
This 955-nucleotide non-coding RNA is filed under the name Cephaloscyllium umbratile (blotchy swell shark). Its description in RNAcentral is "12S ribosomal RNA". It matches the Rfam family "Bacterial small subunit ribosomal RNA". The record is from RNAcentral. Lineage: Eukaryota; Metazoa; Chordata; Chondrichthyes; Carcharhiniformes; Scyliorhinidae.